CUUGGUCAUUUAGAGGAAGUAAAAGUCGUAACAAGGUUUCCGUAGGUGAACCUGCGGAAGGAUCAUUACCGAAUCAUAAGUCGGUCGGCCGUGCUGGCGGAAACGCAAGUGCACGUCGGUCGCAAAUCAAUCCACACACCUGUGAACGUAUGGCCUUGGGUCUUUUGACCUGGGGCAAACUUUUUUACCCACUCUGAUUGUAAAGGAAUGUCUAUGUGCCUAAAGCACAAAAUGCAAACAACUUUCAACAACGGAUCUCUUGGCUCUCGCAUCGAUGAAGAACGCAGCGAAAUGCGAUAAGUAAUGUGAAUUGCAGAAUUCAGUGAAUCAUCGAAUCUUCGAACGCACCUUGCACCCUUUGGUAUUCCGAAGGGUACACCCGUUUGAGUGUCAUUGUAAUCUCACCUCUAGAACUUGUUCUGGGAGUGGACUUGGAUGUUGCCGUGACUCACGGCUCAUCUUGAAUGUCUCAGUGUGACCCGUCUUUGGCGUGAACAGUGUGAUAAGUAUCUUCACUGGUAAGCCUCUCCGGAGGCGCGCUCUCGGAUGUGGGCCCAUGCUGCCAACUGUCUUCGGACAAAUCUCUGACAAUUUGACCUCAAAUCGGGUGGGAUUACCCGCUGAACUUAAGCAUAUCAAUAAGCGGAGGAAAAGAAACUAACAAGGAUUCCCCUAGUAACGGCGAGUGAAGAGGGAAAAGCUCAAAUUUUGAAUCUGGUGUCUUUGGCGCCCGAGUUGUAAUCUAGAGAAGUGUUUUCCGUACCGGACCGUGCACAAGUUCCCUGGAACGGGGCGUCAUAGAGGGUGAGAAUCCCGUAUAUGGCACGGACUCCCGGUGCUCUGCGAUACACUCUCAACGAGUCGAGUUGUUUGGGAAUGCAGCUCAAAAUGGGUGGUAAAUUCCAUCUAAAGCUAAAUAUUGGCGAGAGACCGAUAGCGAACAAGUACCGUGAGGGAAAGAUGAAAAGCACUUUGGAAAGAGAGUUAAACAGUACGUGAAAUUGUUAAAAGGGAAACGAUUGAAGUCAGUCGCGUCUACUUGGACUCAGCCUUGCCUCGGCUUGGUGCAAUUCCUUGUGGACGGGCCAGCGUUCAUGUUGGUUAUUGGAAAAGGUACUAGGGAAUGUGGCUCUUUUGGGAGUGUUAUAGCCCUGGUUCGUAUACAGUGACUGAUAUGGAGUGAUACAGCAUGCUUCGGCGGUGCUUGUGCUGGCAUAAUGGCUUUAAGCGACCCGUCUUGAAACACGGACC
Molecule: ribosomal RNA, 1251 nt
Filed under: uncultured fungus
Lineage: Eukaryota; Fungi
Description: eukaryotic LSU rRNA
Rfam family: Eukaryotic large subunit ribosomal RNA (bases 594-1251)
Source: RNAcentral